GUAUUGAUGAAGAGUCCCAAACUGGGACGAAACAGCUGUCCAGUAC
This 46-nucleotide non-coding RNA is filed under the name Trichobilharzia regenti. The record is from RNAcentral. Lineage: Eukaryota; Metazoa; Platyhelminthes; Trematoda; Strigeidida; Schistosomatidae.